GCAAUAUAGAGGAAAGUCCAUGCUCACACAAUCUGAGAUGAUUGUAGUGUUCGUGCUUGAUGAAACAAUAAAUCAAGGCAUUAAUUUGACGGCAAUGAAAUAACCUAAGUCAUUGGAUAUGGUUAGAAUAGUUUGAAAGUGCCACAGUGACGUAGCUUUUAUAGAAAUAUAAAAGGUGGAACGCGGUAAACCCCUCGAGUGAGCAAUCCAAAUUGGGUAGGAGCACUUGUUUAGCGGAAUUCAACGUAUAGACGAGACGAUUUUUACGCGAAAGUAAAAAUAUGUAGACAGAUGGUUACCACCGACGUAC
This 310-nucleotide RNase P RNA is filed under the name Paenibacillus macerans. Its description in RNAcentral is "partial RNase P RNA component class B". It matches the Rfam family "Bacterial RNase P class B", at positions 27 to 330 of the family's 365-position model. Rfam says of the family: Ribonuclease P (RNase P) is a ubiquitous endoribonuclease, found in archaea, bacteria and eukarya as well as chloroplasts and mitochondria. Its best characterised activity is the generation of mature 5'-ends of tRNAs by cleaving the 5'-leader elements of precursor-tRNAs. The record is from RNAcentral. Lineage: Bacteria; Bacillati; Bacillota; Bacilli; Caryophanales; Paenibacillaceae.